CAGUCGACGGCAGCACGGGAGCAAUCCUGGUGGCGAGUGGCGAACGGGUGAGUAACAUAUCGGAACGUGCCCAGUAAUGGGGGAUAGCCCGGCGAAAGCCGGAUUAAUACCGCAUACGACCUACGGGUGAAAGCGGGGGACCUGCAAGGGCCUCGCGUUAUUGGAGCGGCCGAUAUCAGAUUAGCUAGUUGGUGGGGUAAAGGCCUACCAAGGCGACGAUCUGUAGCUGGUCUGAGAGGACGACCAGCCACACUGGGACUGAGACACGGCCCAGACUCCUACGGGAGGCAGCAGUGGGGAAUUUUGGACAAUGGGCGCAAGCCUGAUCCAGCCAUGCCGCGUGUGGGAAGAAGGCCUUCGGGUUGUAAACCACUUUUGUCAGGGAAGAAACGGUCUGGACUAAUAAUCUGGGCUAAUGACGGUACCUGAAGAAUAAGCACCGGCUAACUACGUGCCAGCAGCCGCGGUAAUACGUAGGGUGCAAGCGUUAAUCGGAAUUACUGGGCGUAAAGCGUGCGCAGGCGGCUUUGCAAGACAGAUGUGAAAUCCCCGGGCUCAACCUGGGAACUGCAUUUGUGACUGCAUGGCUAGAGUACGGUAGAGGGGGAUGGAAUUCCGCGUGUAGCAGUGAAAUGCGUAGAUAUGCGGAGGAACACCGAUGGCGAAGGCAAUCCCCUGGACCUGUACUGACGCUCAUGCACGAAAGCGU
RNAcentral lists this ribosomal RNA (709 nucleotides) under uncultured bacterium. RNAcentral describes it as "bacterial SSU rRNA". It matches the Rfam family "Bacterial small subunit ribosomal RNA", at positions 59 to 762 of the family's 1533-position model. The record is from RNAcentral.